AUACGUAGGGGGCGAGCGUUGUCCGGAAUGAUUGGGCGUAAAGGGCGCGUAGGCGGCCUGUUAAGUCUGGAGUGAAAGUCCUGUUUUCAAGAUGGGAAUUGCUUUGGAUACUGAUGGGCUUGAGUGCAGGAGAGGUUAUCGGAAUUCCCGGUGUAGCGGUGAAAUGCGUAGAGAUCGGGAGGAACACCAGUGGCGAAGGCGGGUAACUGGACUGCAACUGACGCUGAGGCGCGAAAGUGUGGGGAGCAAACAGGAUUAGAUACCCUGGUAGUCCACACUGUAAACGAUGAAUGCUAGGUGUAGGAGGUAUCGACCCCUUCUGUGCCGCAGUAAACACAGUAAGCAUUCCGCCUGGGGAGUACGGUCGCAAGAUUAAAACUCAAAGGAAUUGGCGGGG
RNAcentral lists this ribosomal RNA (397 nucleotides) under uncultured bacterium. Its description in RNAcentral is "partial 16S ribosomal RNA". It matches the Rfam family "Bacterial small subunit ribosomal RNA", at positions 523 to 918 of the family's 1533-position model. The record is from RNAcentral.